AUUAGUCUUUUAAUUGAAGGCUUGUAUGAAUGGUUGGACAAAAAGCAAACUGUCUCAGUUGUAAUAAUUGAAUUUAACUUUUGAGUGAAAAGGCUUAAAUAAGUUAGGGGGACGAUAAGACCCUAUAAAGCUUGACAAUAAGCCGUUUAUAUUAUAAAUUGUUAGUAUAACUUGAUUUUAAAUGGUGUUUGUUGCGUUGGGGCGACGAGAAUAUAAAAGAUAACUGUUCUUAUAAUAUUUAAUAACAGAAAUAGCUGGAAAAUUAAUGAUCCUUUCUUUAAGAUCAUAAGAUUAAGUUACUUUAGGGAUAACAGCGUAAUCUUCCUUGAGAGUUCAUAUCGACAGGAAGGGUUGCGACCUCGAUGUUGAAUUAAGGUAUCCUUAUAAUGCAGCAGUUAUAAAGGAAGGUCUGUUCGACCUUUAAAUC
RNAcentral lists this ribosomal RNA (427 nucleotides) under Penaeus duorarum (pink shrimp). RNAcentral's name for it is "partial 16S ribosomal RNA". It matches the Rfam family "Bacterial large subunit ribosomal RNA", at positions 1967 to 2594 of the family's 2925-position model. The record is from RNAcentral. Lineage: Eukaryota; Metazoa; Arthropoda; Malacostraca; Decapoda; Penaeidae.